RNAcentral lists this ribosomal RNA (245 nucleotides) under uncultured bacterium. RNAcentral's name for it is "partial 16S ribosomal RNA". It matches the Rfam family "Bacterial small subunit ribosomal RNA", at positions 524 to 767 of the family's 1533-position model. The record is from RNAcentral.
UACGGGGGGUGCGAGCGUUGUCCGGAAUCACUGGGCGUAAAGGGCGCGUAGGUGGUUUGAUAAGGGUGUGGUGAAAGUCCGGGGCUCAACCCCGGAUCUGCCGUGCCGACUGUCAAACUCGAGGACUGUAGAGGCAGACGGAAUUCCGGGUGUAGCGGUGGAAUGCGUAGAGAUCCGGAGGAAGACCGGUGGCGAAGGCGGUCUGCUGGGCAGUUUCUGACACUGAGGCGCGACGAGCGUGGGGA